CCUACGGGUGGCAGCAGUCGAGAAUCAUUCACAAUGGGGGAAACCCUGAUGGUGCGACGCCGCGUGGGGGAAUGAAGGUCUUCGGAUUGUAAACCCCUGUCAUGUGGGAGCAAAUUAAAAAGAUAGUACCACACGAGGAAGAGACGGCUAACUCUGUGCCAGCAGCCGCGGUAAUACAGAGGUCUCAAGCGUUGUUCGGAAUCACUGGGCGUAAAGCGUGCGUAGGCUGUUUCGUAAGUCGUGUGUGAAAGGCGCGGGCUCAACCCGCGGACGGCACAUGAUACUGCGAGACUAGAGUAAUGGAGGGGGGACCGGAAUUCUCGGUGUAGCAGUGAAAUGCGUAGAUAUCGAGAGGAACACUCGUGGCGAAGGCGGGUUCCUGGACAUUAACUGACGCUGAGGCACGAAGGCCAGGGGAGCGAAAGGGAUUAGAUACCCUUGUAGUC
This 446-nucleotide ribosomal RNA is filed under the name uncultured bacterium. RNAcentral's name for it is "partial 16S ribosomal RNA". It matches the Rfam family "Bacterial small subunit ribosomal RNA", at positions 338 to 795 of the family's 1533-position model. The record is from RNAcentral.